Molecule: long non-coding RNA, 1916 nt
Filed under: Ficedula albicollis (Collared flycatcher)
Lineage: Eukaryota; Metazoa; Chordata; Aves; Passeriformes; Muscicapidae
Description: lncRNA (ENSFALG00000027275.1)
Source: RNAcentral
CCCCCCCCCCCCCCCCCCCCCCCCCCCCCCCCCCCCCCCCCCCCCCCCCCCCCCCCCCCCCCCCCCCCCCCCCCCCCCCCCCCCCCCCCCCCCCCCCGCCGUGUCAACCGGAGCGGAGCCCUCAGUGCCGUCAAACCUUUGCAUAAACACCGCCAGGGCGGUGAUUCCACCACCUCCCGGGGAAGUGCGUUCCGGUAUUUAUUACGCUUUCUGGGAAUAAAUCCUUUUUAAUGUCCAACCUAAACCUGUCCUAGUGCAGCUUAAGGCUUUGUCAUGUCCUGUCUCUGUUCCCUGUUCCCAGAGCCCGACCCUCCCGGCUGUCUCCUCCUGUCAGGGAGCUGUGCAGAGCCACAAGGGUCUCCCUGAGCCUCCUUUUCUCCCCUUUCCCAGCUCCCUCAGUCCCUCCUGGGACUCCAGACCCUUCCCCAGCUCCAUCCCGUUCUCUGGACUCACGGAGAGGCCCAGGAUGGGCACAGGACUGGUGCUGUGGCCUCCCCAGAGCACAGGGGUCAGCGGGCGGCCUCACCCUCCGAGCUGUGACCCCCUCGGUAUGUGGGGUGGCCUCAGUAAAAAUGAGCGAUUACGCGGCCUCACCCUCCGAGCUGUGACCCCCUCGAUAUGCGGGGUGGCCUCAGUAAAAAUGAGCGAUUAUUGCUUUGCUUCCACUCCUGCAAAGAGCUCUGCAAGCAUAGAAGGCAUCCACCAGAUUGCAGGAAGAUGGAUUCUCCAGCCAGUUCCGCCACCACAGGCUGCGGAUCCCGAGCCCAUUGAACCCUCCAGGACCUGGACACUGGACCUGCCGUCCUGCCUUCUCCCUUAUCUCGGUGCUUGGCAGGUGCCAUGGAUUUCACACUUCCACUGACCUCUGAGCGCUGCCAAAGCCAGGGAGGCACAUCGGGCAGAUAACGUGUCCCCAGUGUCCCCAUUCCACCUCUGCCUUCCCGAGUCCCUUAGGCUCUGGGGAGAGUUACUUAAAAAUAUGCCAGAUUUAAGGUCUGUCUGAAGUCAAAUAAAAAUUCUGCAUUGUUUAAAUCACAUUUCCGUGGCCUUCAUAUUUAAUAAAGGAGUUGUAUUCUUGUAGCAUAAAAAUCUAAAUGACACAUAGAGCACGUAUACUAUCUACUACACGUAUUUUACUUUCAUAUACAGUACGCCUGCAUAAUUUCCCAUCAAAUUUCCAUUUUGGAGGUUUCCAUGAAUUAGAAGCAAACCCAUGACCUUGAAAAUAAGUUACAUAAGCAGCAUGGAUACACCGUGAAUCGCGGAGUCGUUUGGGUUCUGAAAGACCCUUAAAGAUCAUGGACUAGCAGUGAAUUGCAGGCUGUUAAAUGCUUUAUUAAUCACCAAUUCCCGGCCGCAAAAUCUUGAUGGUGACUAGCAGAGCCCACAUUCAGAAAGCAGAGCAGCACUAGCAAGUUUUUUAAUCCAAGGUGCAAGCCGUGUAGGCUGGGAGCGUUACACAAGCGCAGCCGGGAUGGCGAGGCCACGGAGAAACGAGGUUCUUGCCUCAUUUUUGGGUCACAGACACUUGUUGCUACUUCUUGGGGGAAAAAAAAAAAAAAAAAAGACCCCCCCCUUGGGGGAAAAAAAAAAAAAAAAACGAGCAGAGCGGCGGUGAUUUUGUGGAGAUGCGGCGAAGCGCGCGAAGCGAUGGCUCCUGCCGGUGCCGACGCGGUGUCUGGUGACCUUUAGAGGUGACAGGGACCGCGCUGGCGCUCUCGGGUGCCCGCUGCCCCAUUCAUCCCGCACCGCCCGCGCCCUCCCCGUGCCCCCGGCGCUGCCGCUCCCCGGGCCGUCCCCGCUGUCCCCACCGCCCCUCGGCGGGCCCCCCCCCCCCCCCCCCCCCCCCCCCCCCCCCCCCCCCCCCCCCCCCCCCCCCCCCCCCCCCCCCCCCCCCCCCCCCCCCCCCCCCCCCC